UUUUCUUCUCCUCUGCCCGAACCCCUCUCCUUCCCAUGCGAUUUAUGCCUGACGUCGCACCUCUUCUCCGCGCGUCGCCCCACACCAGACGUCGACUUCCCCUUCCUUCUCAUCCCUUCUCCUUGAUUUCCCAUCGCCGAACCCGUGCCGACCUCCUUCUUCUUUCCUCUCGUUCUCUCUUUCGCAGACGAAUCAAAGAUGACAGAACAAAGAUUCUACCUUUGGUGAUCGUCGGUGUCGCCUGAGGAGGAAAUCGUCAGAGCUCGACGGUGUCGAGGAAAUCCAAGCUGUAUUCGGUCGAGGGGUCUCUGCUCCGGUGGUGCCUACGGCCGAACGACAACUCCUUGGUGGCUAGGGCACGGUGAGGAACAAGAUUUUGGGUCGUCUCCCAACCGAUCGACCUCCUCUUUUCUCUCCUCGCACUUCUCACAGUGAGAUCCACAUCUUCACUGGUCGGAUCAGACCAAGCCAUGCCAUCGGGAGGUGAUCAAGAAAGGUCGAAACAGUGUCACCUACUCACUGGCUAGGCGUGGUAAUCUUCACGAACCAUCAUCACAAGCCAGCAGCUACUUCUGAUCUAGAGUUGGUAAGGUUGUUGAAUUAAGCUUGAUUGAUCUAAAGUAAAGGUCUAGGUACAGGGCUGAUUUGGGGAAUCGAUUUGGGUGGCUAGCAGCGUCAUCCAACUUCGACCACUAAUUUCCAGCAUCAAACUUCUCCGAUCGUGGGUUAGCAUUAGCAUGAUCGAAGUUAGGACUUUGAUUCGAGACGAGCGUCUCGACAUCGGAUUUCUGGAUACGAUCUUCUUUUGAGGCGGGUAUUUCUUGACUUAUCCUUUAUGAUAUUGUCACUUUGAUAUGCAUAGUAAUUUAUAGCUAGUAGCAAUGAUCAUGCUUAGAUUUGCCCUUGGUAUGUCACUAUUUGAUACCUAUAGCAUGUUCUGUUAGUUGCCUGUUAUGUAUCCAUGUUUAUAUCUCUUGAUUAUUGUCAUGUGUACCUUAGUUCCUCGAGUAAGUGACAUACUAGGCUUCACUGAGUAUAGGACUAGUUUUCUAGAUUUUAUUAUCUGGCAUGUGUACUUAGACCUAUGAUACCUAGGUCAUGGUAUGAUCUAUUUUCCUAUUUGCUACAUAUUAUGUGGAGGUCAUUAUGGUUAAGAUGUACAUGCUUAGUGUCAUGCACCAUCUUGCAUGAUUGCAUGAUGUGCGAUUGUUGGCUCCAUUAUUGUUGAGCACAUCUCCAGUUACAUGACCUGCGCAGACACAACCACUCAUGGGUUAGUGGUAUUUCAGGCAGGGUGUGUGUUGUAGUUUGCUCUGUCAGGGCUCCGCUGGUCCACUCAUGGGCAGCAAUGACUGCAGCGUGUAGAGGGCAGGGAUCCCUCUUCGGGACUGACUUAGGGAGAUGAGAGCAUUGAGCUCCCCCACUCUGUUUGGGGUAGGAGGAUAGGUGUACUCCGACAGCAUCUUGUCCACUCGGUCACUCAGGAGCAGUGAUGGCAGAGUGCACAGUUGUCAUAACUCUACCCACUCGGUCUCACCAUCGCGUGUUAGAUGGCUGACUGGCGUCAGGGGUGACACAUGUCAUUUUUGCAUCAUAUGCAUUGAUUGCAUUUAUGGUUUGUGAUUGAUGCACUUUGUUUGUUGCAUUUUGGUAGUUGCAUAUGAUUGACAUGCAUACAGGAGAUAUUAUAUAUCUGGUCUGAUGACCCUUACAUCUGGAUAGGAGGUCCUGGUGAGUACAGUUCUUCUUUUGCUAUCUUUUCAGUUUACAUUUCUUAUUAUUGAUCAGAAGAUUGUACUCCAUUAUUAUUUCUGUUAGUUAUAUCUUAGUAGGCAUGUUAACUUGAUAUCUGCUGAGUUCUUUGAACUCACACCGUUGAGCUAUUUCUUUUUCAGGUAGUAGGUAGAUUUGUGGAGUCGCUUGGAGUAUCCUGUCUGUCGGUUCCCACGUCACAUCCGAAGACCUGUUUUUGAUUUUCAUUUGUACUUUAAUUGGUCUAUGUUUUGGUUUACUUAGCAAUGUAGAAUUUUGGUUUUGGUUCCGGAGUGUUGUGAUGUGGUGUUUUGUAUUGUUUGUUGUGUUGUGUAAGUCUAGUUGGCUAGCAGUCAUUCAUUUGGUUUGUAAUGAUUUUCUGUUGUAUUUUCCGGGGUGUUCUUCUUUUAGUACAGCCGAGUUGGCUGUUAGAUAUAUAUAUAUAACUGCGUGGUUGUAUUUUUAUCGUUACAUCCAAGUGGACUGAAUAUAAAUUGUGUGAUUGUGUAUA
Long non-coding RNA from Zingiber officinale, 2263 nucleotides. RefSeq lists it as uncharacterized. Lineage: Eukaryota; Viridiplantae; Streptophyta; Magnoliopsida; Zingiberales; Zingiberaceae. The record is from RefSeq and is a predicted model, not a curated record. The transcript is spliced from 3 exons.